AACGAACGCUGGCGGCAUGCCUAACACAUGCAAGUCGAACGAGACCUUCGGGUCUAGUGGCGCACGGGUGCGUAACGCGUGAGAACCUGCCCUUAGGUUCGGAAUAACUCCCCGAAAGGGGUGCUAAUACCGGAUAAUGUCUUCGGACCAAAGAUUUAUCGCCUUUGGAUGGGCCCGCGUUGGAUUAGCUAGUUGGUAGGGUAAAAGCCUACCAAGGCGACGAUCCAUAGCUGGUCUGAGAGGAUGAUCAGCCACACUGGGACUGAGACACGGCCCAGACUCCUACGGGAGGCAGCAGUGGGGAAUACUGGACAAUGGGCGAAAGCCUGAUCCAGCAAUGCCGCGUGAGUGAUGAAGGCCUUAGGGUUGUAAAGCUCUUUUACCCGGGAUGAUAAUGACAGUACCGGGAGAAUAAGCUCCGGCUAACUCCGUG
RNAcentral lists this ribosomal RNA (433 nucleotides) under uncultured bacterium. RNAcentral's name for it is "partial 16S ribosomal RNA". It matches the Rfam family "Bacterial small subunit ribosomal RNA", at positions 29 to 507 of the family's 1533-position model. The record is from RNAcentral.